This 81-nucleotide transfer RNA is filed under the name Chromochloris zofingiensis. RNAcentral describes it as "tRNA-Leu". It matches the Rfam family "tRNA". From Rfam's summary of the family: Transfer RNA (tRNA) molecules are approximately 80 nucleotides in length. The record is from RNAcentral. Lineage: Eukaryota; Viridiplantae; Chlorophyta; Chlorophyceae; Sphaeropleales; Chromochloridaceae.
GCCCCUGUGAUGAAAAGGUAGACAUAUCGAUUUCAAAAGUCGACGCUUGAAAAGCAUAUCGGUUCGAGUCCGAUCAGGGGU